RNAcentral lists this long non-coding RNA (444 nucleotides) under Dasypus novemcinctus (nine-banded armadillo). Its description in RNAcentral is "lncRNA (ENSDNOG00000051217.1)". Lineage: Eukaryota; Metazoa; Chordata; Mammalia; Cingulata; Dasypodidae. The record is from RNAcentral.
GGGCCGGGGCAACCCCGGGGGAGGGGUGAGGGGGAGGGAGGUGGCUGGGGCACGGCCAGGAGCCCGCCGCCCGGAGCCCCUGGUGACCCGAGUCCUCCGCUGGGGCCCCGCGCCUGGGGUCGGCUCGCUGUCACGCCCUUCCCCGAGCCGGAGGCCAAGAUUGGGACGUGCGAGGCGGUUGGCAGCGCUGAGCGACUGGGUCGGGGUGCAGAGGCGUUUUAACCGCCCCCAUCCAGGGUUUGGAAAGGAAAAACCCAGAGGACCCGGGCAGUAAAAAAACCUGAAGGGCUCACCACGUACUGGACUCUGGAGAAUCCGGGCAAAGAAAAGGAAAAAACCAAGCAGCAAGUCAUCUUACGCCUGCUGAUACCCUCUUCCCCUUUGUCAGCCCUUUUCCUUGCUUUCAGGAUGAAUUAAAAUUCUUAUCUGCUCUGCAUUCAGCAU